Molecule: transfer RNA, 71 nt
Filed under: Marmota monax (woodchuck)
Lineage: Eukaryota; Metazoa; Chordata; Mammalia; Rodentia; Sciuridae
Description: tRNA.Asp
Source: RNAcentral
GAGUGUAGCUCAGUGGUAGAGCACUUUCCCAUCAUGUGAGAGAUUCUAGGUUCAAUCCCCAGGACCACACA